GGUGGAGCCUCCACCUCUCUUAGACCUCAUUUAAGGACUGACUGCCACUGAGGAAGGAUCUCUUUCUGGAGUUCCCUCUUUGGUGAAGCUUUCCCCUGUGCACCUAGAAUCUUCUGAUACAGGCAGGUGGAUCCCAGCCAAGCCCACAGUCACACCAUUAUUUUGGACAUUGGUUAUCAGCAAUGCACACAGAAAAGCUGGGUUAGGAGUGCAGCUUUCAGAAGAAACAGUACUGAUAAACCUGGAAAUACCCUCAGACCUCCUAUGACACAGGAACAAGCUGAGCUGGGAGUCCACCAGGUAUUUUGCCAUCCCCAGCCAGACCAAACUUGAAGGAACGGAUAGAGGUCCUGCAGUCCACUGAUCACUGGGGAGGGAAUAUCAGUUUGUGUCCUGCUCAGGAAUUGUAUCUGCACUGAAAUAGAAGAGAAAACCUUAGAAACCUUGUUGGUGUUUGAUGCUACUGAUGUUUGUCACUAAAUGUGGGAUAUGUAGGUAUUCGAGGCCAGGUUGGAUGGGGGCCUUGGGCAACCUGAUCUGGUGCCUGAUUUUGUGGCUGGCAA
Long non-coding RNA from Gallus gallus (chicken), 563 nucleotides. The record is from Ensembl. Lineage: Eukaryota; Metazoa; Chordata; Aves; Galliformes; Phasianidae.